Schistocerca gregaria is the source of this 2169-nucleotide long non-coding RNA. RefSeq lists it as uncharacterized. Lineage: Eukaryota; Metazoa; Arthropoda; Insecta; Orthoptera; Acrididae. The transcript is spliced from 4 exons. The record is from RefSeq and is a predicted model, not a curated record.
AGCCUGUUGUCUGGCGCUUUCUGGUAACUGCUCAAACGAACCUAAAUACAAACCUCAUAGGUCGAUUGAUCGAUAUUUAGCUCGCUAGUAGCUUGGUUCUUCGCGGUAUGUUUCAACGUGUAGGACUUGAUUAUGAUGAAAAUUUUGCACAGUCACUCGUUAUGACAUUAUUCGCACCUUACCAGUGCUCGGAAGUGAAAAAAUCUUGACGUCGGGCAAUUAGACAUUAGAAAUUUAUUUUUGUGUGGCGACUUUGACACAGAAAUAUGUUUGACUCAACCAGAAGAUUUCGAUGACGGAUCAGGUCUUGUUUAUCGCCUCAAUAAUUCAUUAAAUGGACUUACGCAGUCAUCGCAUUGUUGAAAUAAUAAGUUUGACUCAGUCCUGAGGACUACUGGACAUAUUCGUUCGGUAGCAAACCUUUGUACUUAAAUUUGAUAGAGCAAAACAGAAAAAUUGUUGAGUGCCAUUUCCGUCGAUGAUAAUUACAUGGCAGGGUCGAUUCAGAAAGUGUACUGAAUUGGUUUUUGACUUGCGUCAGAAUUGAAAAUAACAGUGGGCUGUUUAAACUUGCAGAUAGAACAACCAAAGUCUGGGUCCUUCAUUUCACAGCAAGGAUACACAGAGAAGAUUCUACAUCCUUUUAACAUGCCGGUUAAAAACCAUUGAAGAUUCCCUGAACAAUUAGACAACAAGGCUAGUAACACUCUCAACAGCACUGCCGCCUGUUGUUCAGCUGUAGGAUCAUGACUUUUCUGACAUGCUCUAAUUUUCUUGAUUUCAAUUAUGCUGUUUCAGAAGUUGCUCGAUUGAUAGCCAAAGCUACUUCUAACUGGAACGCCGUAAAAUAUUUUCUAAGUGCAUCGAAGUACGUUAUUAUUUAGUGCAUGAACUCUAGCGCAAAAUGUUUAUAUCAGUGUGGAAUGUAUGUCUUCCAAACAUCAACUUGGGGACUUGUUUAUAAAGCCUUUAAAGUGAAACAUUUAACGCAGUGUGCACUGAGAUAGGACUUUGUGAGUAGUGUGUUUUGUCCGUAUAUUAUACUGUGCAUCACAAUUCGAUUGGGGUGAAGUUUAAAUGGAAUAAACCGAACUUUGUUGCGUUUGUAGGUGCCUCCUACCGUAGUACAUAGUUUUGUAUACCAUAGAACGUCUCUGUUAUAAGAGUGUCUAUUAUUUGUUUUCCUGUUUAUGCUCCAAAGCAUAAUGGUCUAUUGUUUGUUGUGUAUCCAGUACAGAAAAUGCACCAUUUUCUUAAGUACCCUGUUACAUUCUUGCUACAAAAUAUAUCACUAUCAGAUGAUGUCACACUGUGAUUAAUUGUAAAUAGCAGCUAACAGAUAUUCCAGGCUAGGUGAACUGUGUCAGUGCAGCCUAGAGACAUGUUCUCUACUGUAAAGACGAUUAGUUGUCAGGACCCAAGUUUAAUGCUUUCGGUAAUCAAACUGAGAAGAAGUUAGUGAAGUGGUAUUGCUAACAUUUUCAACUAGUGUUCCUCGCGAUAUAUGACAGUAAUGCUUGUACACACAGAAAAUUUUGACCAAACCCAACAGUCUGUGGUACCUCACCUGAACUACGCUUUGUCACCUGUUGUUGAGAUAAUUCAAAAUAUCAUUGACAGCAUAACUGUAGAAGUUGUCACAGCGCCAAUAGAGCAUCUUUUUGAGAAGGAAGGUUACUGAAGGAAGGAAUAGAAGGUAUAUAUAUAUUAUUUUUGCCAAACCAAAAAGAAAUUAACGAAUUAUUUGGAUUGAAAGCCAUGUCCAAUAAUAACAUUAGUGCUACUGUUUCAUCCUCAGACUGUUCUGAUACUGAGGAAGUUCCUGAUCAAGAACCUCCUAAAACUCCAGAUCCUGAUCCACUUAGCAUACUACUUGCGGAAAAUGAAGCUUCUAAUCUAUCAGUUUUUAAAUCAGUAGAAAUCGAUUUGAUAUAACAGUAAUCAGGUAGGCUAUGAAAUUGAGCUUUAGAGAAAAAUUGACUUAAUUAACAAUACCUCUGGGCUCCAGAUGUAACAUAACAUUUAUCAUAAACGUUACCUUGAGCAUCUAUAACAUCUUGCCAACUAUGUCCAUAACCCCUCACUUGAAAUAGACGAGUAUUAAUAAAAUGUAUAUCACCAUUUUUAAUAGCAUUUACAUUUUUCCAAAUAAAAAACUUUGACAAUUAA